RNAcentral lists this long non-coding RNA (211 nucleotides) under Elaeis guineensis (African oil palm). Its description in RNAcentral is "long non-coding RNA (EGUI_LNC053834)". Lineage: Eukaryota; Viridiplantae; Streptophyta; Magnoliopsida; Arecales; Arecaceae. The record is from RNAcentral.
UAGGUCUUCACCCGAUGCCUCCCCACAAAGCAUCCACGCGGCGAUCCACAGCCUCUGCAGCCAGAUCUCAGGCUCCGACCUCACCUUCAGUUUUCCAGCCUCCUCCCCCUCCUCCGACAAUGACGGUUGGCACGGAGUAAUUUGACCUACUGGUGUAGCAGGUCAGAGGCCUCACUGAAGCUGUGCAGGCCAUACAACAGUAGCAGCAGGC